UCUCCCCCUGCGGACACGCCCACCGGGGACAGCCAAUCAGCACCAAGGAGGGGGUUGGGGGGUUCUAGGUGAGGCAAUGAGGAGCUAAAAUGGCUUUGGGUGGGUUCUAGGUGAGCCAAUGAGGCGCCGAAGUGGCUUUGGGUGGUACUAGGUGAGCCAAUGAGGCGCCAAAGUGGCUUGGGGUGGGUUCUAGAUGAGGCAAUGAGGCGCCAAAGUGGAUUUUGGUGGGUUCUAGGUGAGCUUUGGUGGCCCCAAGACCUUCCAACCACCCAAUUAACCAGCUGAGUAAUUAACUGUCCACCCAAUUAACCAACCACCCAACCCGUUAAUCAACUACCCAACCAAUUAACCGUCCAAACCAUCAAUCUCAUUGGGUUCUGGAUGACCCCAUUGGGUUUGGGGUGUCCCCCUGGGUUCUAGGUGACCCAAUGGAUUCUGGAUGGGAUCGUUGGGUUCGGGGUGACCCCCUUGGGUUCGGGGUGACCCUGUUGGGUUCUGGGUGACCCCAUUGGGUUGUAAGUGCUCUCAUUGGGUUCCAAGUGACCCCAUUGGGUUCUGGGUGACCCUGUUGGGUUCUGGGUGACCCCAUUGGGUUCUAAGUGAUCUCAUUGGGUUGGAUUUGACCCCAUUGGGUUCGGUUGUCCCCAUUGGGUUCUAAGUGGCCCCAUUGGGUUCUGGGUGACCCAGUUGGGUUCUAAGUGCUCUCAUUGGGUUCAGGGUGACCCCAUUGGGUUCUGGGUGACUCUAGAGGUUCUGGGUGACCCCAUUGGGUUCUAAGUGCUCUCAUUGGGUUCUAAGCGGCCCCAUUGGGUUCUGGGUGACUCUGUUGGGUUCUAAGGGAUCUCAUUGGGUUCUGGGUGACCCCAUUGGGUUCUAAGCCACCCCAUUGGUCGGGGUGUACCUGGCUCUCCACCAGCAUGGCCAUGUCCACGAACAUGUCGUGCAGCUCGCGGA
Molecule: long non-coding RNA, 954 nt
Organism: Columba livia (rock pigeon)
Lineage: Eukaryota; Metazoa; Chordata; Aves; Columbiformes; Columbidae
Exons: 2
Source: RefSeq, a predicted model, not a curated record